CGGUUACGUCACAGCGCCGCGACUAGGCCUGUCGCAAUUCGAAGACUCCUUCAAAUGUGGUCGACGAAUGCGGCCUUCUUUUCGCCUGAAUGAAGGAUGGGUCCGGUGUAUCCUUCAACAGGUAGCAUUUCCCAAGAUGCCUUGCGGGCCGGCCGGCAGAAAAACUUAAAAACAAUGGCGGACAGUGAAGCGGGAGCUGUCGGAGAGGAUUGCGCAUAUAAAUGAACAAAAGAGAAAACCAGGGAAUUUAUUAAGCUUAGGGCGGAGAUGGACCACAUGAUCACCGGAGCAAAGUAUUCGGUGGCUGUGGCAUGGAGACUAUUCUGGAGAAAAUGGGCAUCCAGGAGAAGGUGACAGCGAUGACCAGCUUCUGGAGCUGCUGAUCUGGGAGGACAUGAGGCUGCAGAGGGAGGCAGAGGGCACAGGAGAGAAGGGAGAACUUUGACAGGCUUUUUACUUUGCUAGAAAAAAAUGGUUAAUAAAGAUUAAACAUGUACAUAUAAAAGAAAUAUCUAAAUAAAAUCAGUUCUGCAUUAAACUCUUGAAUUUUAUUUUGGUUUACAAAUGAGAAUUGUUUACUAGAGGGUAUCCCGCUGGGUCUUAAAGUCUAGGUGAUAAAUGGGUUUUGGUCAAAUUAAGACCCUUAGAAAGUAUUAAAAACUAUUAUCACAUCUUUGCUCAGGCUCAGCUAGUCGAAAGUAUUUUCUCUGAAUUAGCUCUCCAACAGUCAAGGAAAUGAUUAAAAAGCUAAAUAAAACUUCGAGCUCCAUCGUUUAAAGUUCCUUCUCCCUUCUGCUCAGCGGUUCCACGGUUGCUAGGCGACGGAACGUUCGCCGAGGGAGAGGCGGGGAAUUCAUGAAGGCUAGGCCUGUCCAAAUUCACAGCCGUUAACAUCCGGUCUACCCGGCCGACGGAGGACCCAGCCCACGUCGGCCGAGUAG
Non-coding RNA from Nothobranchius furzeri (turquoise killifish), 941 nucleotides. Lineage: Eukaryota; Metazoa; Chordata; Actinopteri; Cyprinodontiformes; Nothobranchiidae. The record is from RefSeq and is a predicted model, not a curated record.